RNAcentral lists this ribosomal RNA (253 nucleotides) under uncultured bacterium. RNAcentral's name for it is "partial 16S ribosomal RNA". It matches the Rfam family "Bacterial small subunit ribosomal RNA", at positions 524 to 776 of the family's 1533-position model. The record is from RNAcentral.
GACGGAAGGUGCAAGCGUUGCUCGGAAUUACUGGGCGUAAAGGGCCUGUAGGUGGCCAACUAAGUCGAACGUGAAAUCCCUCAGCUUAACUGGGGAACUGCGUCCGAUACUGGAUGGCUCGAGUUUGGGAGAGGGAUGCGGAAUUCCAGGUGUAGCGGUGAAAUGCGUAGAUAUCUGGAGGAACACCGGUGGCGAAGGCGGCAUCCUGGACCAACACUGACACUGAGGAGCGAAAGCCAGGGGAGCAAACGGG